RNAcentral lists this ribosomal RNA (762 nucleotides) under Vezdaea cobria. RNAcentral's name for it is "eukaryotic LSU rRNA". It matches the Rfam family "Eukaryotic large subunit ribosomal RNA", at positions 190 to 991 of the family's 3401-position model. Lineage: Eukaryota; Fungi; Ascomycota; Vezdaeales; Vezdaeaceae. The record is from RNAcentral.
UUGGAACAGGACGUCAUAGAGGGUGAGAAUCCCGUAUGCGACUGGGUGCCUCAUGUGAAGCUCCUUCGACGAGUCGAGUUGUUUGGGAAUGCAGCUCAAAAUGGGUGGUAAAUUUCAUCUAAAGCUAAAUACUGGCCAGAGACCGAUAGCGCACAAGUAGAGUGAUCGAAAGAUGAAAAGCACUUUGGAAAGAGAGUUAAACAGUACGUGAAAUUGUUGAAAGGGAAGCGCUUGCAAUCAGACUUGCAUGUAAUUGAUCAUCCGGGUGCACUCAGUUGUAUUCAGGCCAGCAUUGGUUUUGGUGGUUGGAUAAAGGCCUAGGGAAUGUAGCUUCUUUCGGGGAGUGUUAUAGCCCUGGGUGUCAUACAGCCUACUGGGACCGAGGACCGCGCUUCGGCUAGGAUGCUGGCGUAAUGGUUGCAAGCGACCCGUCUUGAAACACGGACCAAGGAGUCUAACAUCUAUGCGAGUGUUUGGGUGUCAAACCCAUACGCGUAAUGAAAGUGAACGGAGGUGAGAACCCUUGCAUCAUCGACCGAUCCUGAUGUCUUCGGAUGGAUUUGAGUAAGAGCAUAGCUGUUGGGACCCGAAAGAUGGUGAACUAUGCCUGAAUAGGGUGAAGCCAGAGGAAACUCUGGUGGAGGCUCGCAGCGGUUCUGACGUGCAAAUCGAUCGUCAAAUUUGGGUAUAGGGGCGAAAGACUAAUCGAACCAUCUAGUAGCUGGUUCCUGCCGAAGUUUCCCUCAGGAUUGGAAGAAUGUU